Molecule: long non-coding RNA, 2688 nt
Organism: Teleopsis dalmanni
Lineage: Eukaryota; Metazoa; Arthropoda; Insecta; Diptera; Diopsidae
Exons: 3
Source: RefSeq, a predicted model, not a curated record
GUCUUCGUUCCUUACAAGUAGUUCUCUGAUAUAUAAUCAUAAUUAUCUGGCAAUAUUUUUAAAUUCAGCGUUCCUAUGAUUAACGUUGCAUAGUUGGCUUUGUGAAUCGCGUCAAUAAUAAGUCCUCGUAGUGAUUUGUAUAUAGUACAUAGAUUUCAAAUUGAACAAUGCAUAUUAGACAAAUAAUAAUUCAAGGCUUCAAGAGUUAUAAAGAUCAAACGGUAGUAGAGCCAUUUGAUAAGAGGCACAAUGUUGUUGUUGGAAGAAAUGGCUCUGGAAAAAGUAAUUUUUUUUAUGGGACCUGGUUGGUCAAACACGGAAGUCAAGACUAUAAUGGAAGGGAAAAUUAAAGAACUAGAUAAGAGAGAAUAUUACUGAAUAUUGCAAGAGGAACAAUGUCGGCGGAAUCAAGAGGAAUACCAGAGAAUGAUAUAAGUUCUAUAAAUCCUCCAGUGUACUCAAAUCUACAGAUAGUGGAAUAAGUACAGAAAUGGUUCUGCAGAUAUGACGGUGGCAAGGAUCCAUUGGGUUUUAUCGAGCACAAAGAACUAGCAGAUAUGUACAGCAUUGAUGUAAACUCAAUUUCUCGCGCAAUGUCCUUCUUGAAAAUAAGGCGCUGACAUGGUAUCGCAACAACAAUUUUCGUUGGCAACUCUCGACAAGUUUUAAAGUUGAUUUUUUAAAGUUCUUUACCUAAUCUAGAUACUUCGAUAAGCUAGAGAACGAGGUAUGAACACGACUUCUAAAAUCAAAAGAAAGUUUUUGAGAUUAUUUAUUUGACAUCAAAACUCUAAUGCAACGAGCCUGUAUUAUUCAAGAUUCUCAACAAAGCGAAUAUAUCGCAACAUGAACGCUGAUUACCAAAGGUACGUCGGAGACGAGGAGAUCUUAGAUGAAUUAAUGACAGUAGUUGAUGACUUUGAAGCACUUCAAAUAGAGCAGAUCAAAGCAAGUCAAAGCAAUGAACAAGAAACGAGCAUGAGGCAGGUGGUAGUUGAAUUCAAGCAAGCAAUCCCAUUGCAGUAUACUAUGAUAUGAGUGCAACCAAGGAAAAUACCGAAGAACAUGUCCAACAAAAGAAGCAGAGCAGUCAGGAACAGAAUCAGUCCAACCUACAUUUAACAAUGCGAAUCAUGCAGGAUCGAAAUUAUCUAGAACAGCAUCCGAUACCACUGAAAUAAACUUCACAAACACAAGCCGAUAAAUGUCUCAUACCUCAACAACAAGCACUGCAACGCAUCAUUCGAGAAAAUUCAGAAGUAUUUUAUCCAGCCCGAGUUAUGCAAAGUUAAAUUCAAGCGCAUGAAAUACAACCACAGCAAGAUCUGCAACGCGUUACGCCUAUCGAAAAAAGUAAACAAGGACUUAGUAAACAUCGAAUUUCCAAUACAUAUUCUAUAACAUACAAGACCAAGGAAACGUACAACGGCAAAUACAAAAUGUACAACAAUCUCCAGAGCUAGAGGUGCAUGAAGAAAAUUCGAUUAUAUACUCGAUAGGCUUGGUGGGAACCUCAUGAGAAUACGUACCUUAUGAACUAACGUCAACAGAGACCUCGCUAACACCACGACUCGUUGUCUCUACAUUAUGAAUGCCAUAGUGAAUCAGUUUCUAAUUAAAAACGUCUUUGCGGCUGAACAAAAACAAAAUGAACAAAAACAAAAAGAAACCACCGAAUCUCAGCGCAAAGUAAAUCUAUAUUUGUACGACCAAGGCAAAUCUUAUACGGAGAUUGGAAAAAUAAUGGAUAGAAGCGCUAUACCAUUCGAAAUAUUGUGCAGAGUAGCAAAGGGGUGAUAUCGUUCAAAAGUGCAUAGCACACAGGCGACCUAAAGCCUUGAGCGACCGUGAUCGCAACAUAAUAAUAAGAAAGGUGAAGGUCAACCCAAAAAUAUCUUCAAUCCAAAUUCCAGCUGAGGUUAGGCGAGAGUUUGGCUAGUUAUAACAGUCGUGUCACUAGACGAAAACCGAAAGCCAACCAACAGAAACGUCUAGCUUCUGCAAAAGCGUACUUAAGCAAGCCAAUCCAGUUUUGGAAUAAUGUUAUCUUCGCAGAUAAAAAUAAAUUUAAUAUCUUUCGAUCUGAUGGCCACUAAAUAGUUUGGAGUAAACUAAACACCGAACUGCAAAAAGAAAAUCUUGCAAUGUCUGUGAAACAUUGUGGUGGAGAAGUGUUUGUACAUGGCUGUAUGUCCGUUGCAGGGGUCGGCGAAUUGGAAUUCAUUGACGGCAUUAUGGACAAAAAAUAUUGUUUAGACAUCCUCAAGAGAAACAUCAAAAAAAUUGCCUAAAACUUGAGUUUACUUGUCACAUUUAGCUUCCAACAUGAUAAUGACCCAAAACAUACGUCUUAUGUUGUGCGUAUGUGCCUCACUCAUCAUGUAAACACACAUUACCGCAUACACCUCAAUCUCUAGAUCUCAACCCCAUUGAACAUUUGUGGGAAGAAUUGGAUAGACGACUAAAGAAGCACACUAUACAACAAAAUCAGCACUGAAGGUGGCUCUGCUUGAAGAGUGGCAAAAUAUUGGGCCAGAAACCACACAAAAAUUGGUUUUAUCGAUAAUAAGGCGACUAGAAGCCGGUAUCAAACAAAAGGACUUGACCACGACAUAUUAAUUGUUAUCGUAAAUAUUUUUUUUAAAUUUGUUUUUUAAUUUUUGCAUUAACUGUGCAGAUAAUUUUGUU